Molecule: ribosomal RNA, 577 nt
Filed under: Williopsis saturnus
Lineage: Eukaryota; Fungi; Ascomycota; Saccharomycetes; Phaffomycetales; Wickerhamomycetaceae
Description: eukaryotic LSU rRNA
Rfam family: Eukaryotic large subunit ribosomal RNA
Source: RNAcentral
UAUCAAUAAGCGGAGGAAAAGAAACCAACAGGGAUUGCCUCAGUAACGGCGAGUGAAGCGGCAAAAGCUCAAAUUUGAAAUCUGGUACCUUUGGUGCCCGAGUUGUAAUUUGAAGAUAGUUUUCUGGUGCUGGCCCUUGUCUAUGUUCCUUGGAACAGGACGUCACAGAGGGUGAGAAUCCCGUCUGGCGGGGUGUCCAGUGCUUUGUAGAUUUCUAUCGACGAGUCGAGUUGUUUGGGAAUGCAGCUCUAAGUGGGUGGUAAAUUCCAUCUAAAGCUAAAUAUUGGCGAGAGACCGAUAGCGAACAAGUACAGUGAUGGAAAGAUGAAAAGAACUUUGAAAAGAGAGUGAAAAAGUACGUGAAAUUGUUGAAAGGGAAGGGUAUUAGAUCAGACUUGGUGUUUUGUGAUUAUCUUCCCUUCUUGGGUUGUGCACUCGCAUUUCACUGGGCCAGCAUCGGUUCGGGUGGUAAGAUAAUGACAUUGGAACGUGGCACUACCUUCGGGUGGUGUGUUAUAGCCCUUGUUGAUGUUGCCUACCUGGACCGAGGACUGCGGCUUUGCCUAGGAUGCGGCGU